GAUAGUGAACUUAAUAUCUCUCAUAUAAUACCUGGGAAUAUGGCCCGAAAGUUUCUACCCAAUAACCGUAAAUUAUUGGACUAUGAGAGAAAGUGAUUCCUUU
This 103-nucleotide non-coding RNA is filed under the name Bacillus sp. (in: firmicutes). Its description in RNAcentral is "Bacillus sp. Guanine sequence". It matches the Rfam family "Purine riboswitch aptamer". From Rfam's summary of the family: Riboswitches are metabolite binding domains within certain messenger RNAs that serve as precision sensors for their corresponding targets. Lineage: Bacteria; Bacillati; Bacillota; Bacilli; Caryophanales; Bacillaceae. The record is from RNAcentral. RNAcentral also lists the same sequence under 1 other name.